AGAGGGGUGCAAGCGUUAAUCGGAGUUACUGGGCGUAAAGGGCGCGUAGGCGGAUGUGUAAGUCGGGAUGUGAAAUCCCUGGGCUUAACCUGGGAACUGCAUUCGAAACUACAUAUCUAGAGUAUAAGAGAGGAAAGUAGAACUCCCGGUGUAGUGGUAAAAUCCGUAGAUAUCGGGAAGAAUACCAGAGGCGAAGGCGGCUUUCUGGCUUAAUACUGACGCUGAGGCGCGAAAGCGUGGGGAGCAAACAGGAUUAGAGACCCUGGUAGUCCACGCUGUAAACGAUGAGAACUAGAUGUUGCCUUUUCGAAGGUAGUGUCGAAGCUAACGCGUUAAGUUCUCCGCCUGGGGAGUACGGUCGCAAGAUUA
Molecule: ribosomal RNA, 369 nt
Filed under: uncultured organism
Description: partial 16S ribosomal RNA
Rfam family: Bacterial small subunit ribosomal RNA
Source: RNAcentral